Molecule: non-coding RNA, 114 nt
Organism: Acanthosepion pharaonis
Lineage: Eukaryota; Metazoa; Mollusca; Cephalopoda; Sepiida; Sepiidae
Source: the annotation of a GenBank genome assembly
UUGUGGUCAUACCACGUUGAAAUGCUGGUUCUUGUAUGAUCACCGAAGUUAAGCAAUGUUGAGCUUGGUCAGUACCUAGAUGGGUGACCACUAGGGAAUGCUAGAUGCUGUAAG